RNA transcript from Ctenopharyngodon idella (grass carp), 7129 nucleotides. It is a transcript of the gene named sodium channel, voltage-gated, type II, beta, with no coding region annotated. Lineage: Eukaryota; Metazoa; Chordata; Actinopteri; Cypriniformes; Xenocyprididae. The transcript is spliced from 6 exons. The record is from RefSeq and is a predicted model, not a curated record.
CAUAAUAUCAACCAGUGCUCCUGCUACAGACACUGCCAGCCAUAUCAUAGCACAAAAUAAAAACAUUUCCGUGUUUUUUAUAUGAUUAAAACGGAGAAAUAGAUCUCAAACGCAUUUUUAAUACCUAUUUUCCGAUAAGUUUUAUUGUCAGCGACCAAAAUGUCCAUUUUAUUGCAUUCUGGGAAAACGCAGUGGGCGUCCGCUUUGAAAUUAUCCUGUGUUGCAUUGGUGAUAUUUUUGGCCUGUCCAGUGAAUUCCAUGGAUGUGCUGGUGCCACAACAGAUCAACGCUCUCAAUGGCACUAAUGUCAGAAUCCCAUGUGCAUUCACCUCAUGCUACAAGCUGGACCCCAGCAAGUUUGCCAUGAACUGGACCUAUCAGGAGACACUCAACAGCACAGAGGAGAUGUUCAUGACUUAUAAGAACAGGAUAACACCCCUGAAGUCAACCCGAUUUGGAGAUCGGGUCAUGUUUUCUGGAAACCUGGAGAAGAACGACCUCAGCAUCACUAUCUCAGAUGUGCAGUUGACAGACGAUGGAAUCUACAAUUGCUAUGUGCGCAACCCUCCAGAUCGCAUUCCGGGUCACGGCACCAUCCAGUUCAACGUCCUGACUGAAUUGCCACCACCAAGGGAUUCGACCAUUGCUGUCGCCAUCGGGGCAUCUGUGGGGGGCAUUCUUGCUUUGCUCAUUCUGUCCAUGGUAGUGGUGAAGUGUAUUCGUAGACAUAAGAACCAGGAGCUGAUCUCAGACGAGCAGAAGAUGGAGGAAGAGGGCAAAGUCGAUGGAGAAGGGGGAACAGAAGAAGCAACAAAACAGCCCUAACCCGCCAUCUUAGCCCUGGAGGCCUAACGGAUGGUGGAGCUCAAUCCUUCAUGUUCUGAAAUUUAUGCCUCCUGCCUGAAGAUAUGUAAAACUUGUUUGACUCUUCGUCCUGUAAUGGUCUCAUUCAACAUUCCCCAGUUUUCUCGUGUAGCGACCAAACAUGUCAUGUUAGGAAGAUCUCUGCCACAGUGUCAUGAUGUCCAGUCACUGGUGAGAAAUCACAAAGGGUUUUAUACUGCCUCUUCCACUCAUUAUGGCAGGUUAAGGUGAUAACAGCAUCCUACAGAACUUUUUAUUUUGUCCACCCUUUUUUCAAAGUCAGUAAUGUCUUUUUUUCUUCAACUACUGCCACUAUUAGCACUAUUAAUAUUAGCCAUCCAGUAUUUCUGCUAAGAAUUUUCUAAAAAUGAGAGUUUUAAAUGAUACAAAACUGCCAAAGUGUUUUUACCCUUACAGUGUUUAUACGUUUUGACAGUUUCUUGAGAAAUCACUGCCCUCAACGUCCUCUUUAAGUGGAUGCAGAAACAUGAUGUGUGUGUUUGUGUGUGUGCCUUCUCGUUGUGCCAGUUUGCUCCAAUUGGGUCUAAGGUUUGUGCUGUUUUUACAAUCCAGUAUGUAGAACAGCAGAAUAUUUAGCAGUGAUACCUUGAACCUACCCAAAUGGCAGGACCAUGACUAUCCAUUAGUGUUAAAAAUCUAUAAUUUGCUAGUUUAUAGCACACCUCCAAAACAUGUACAAUCAUUGCAUGACAAUUUUCUUAUACAUGAUACACACAAAUUGCACAAAACAACUCAUCACUUUGCACAAGCAUCUGGCACAUUCCAUGAAUAGGGUAUACUUUGGUGUCUCUAACUUUUUAAAAGCAUUUAGGCCCUGACACAAAAAGCCGAUGGUCGGCCAUCGGCCAACGUCGGGCGGCCCAGUUCCACACCAUCUGCAGUAGUUGGACUUUGACGGCCGAUUGAGCAUAUUGAAUCAGCGUCUGUCGGCGUCUGUGCCAUUGGUGAGAGAGAGAACUCUGAUUGGCUGUUCAGCUUAGUGAAUGAGAAUAAAAACAAAAGACGGCUGUUCUAAUUUAAUGCCAUCUUACCUGAGCAUUCCAAUGCACAAAUAUUUUCAUAACAACAUGAGCCACCUGGAACGUUUCGCUUUCCCUUUUUGGAUGAAGAAUAUAGACUAUUGAUACCUGUUGAUAUAGACAGUUAUUUUCUUACACGCAGCUGCAGAACGCAUGUGCUAGUUGACAGUCGCCCGUAGUCUUUGUGGCGCAGCUUUUUGGCCGCGAUGCAGCCGAUGCGAGGCGACAACACAGUCGCCUUUUGUCGCCACUAGUUUUUUUUUUUUUUACAUCUGCUUGGUGUGUCACAGCCUUUAGAGGCACAAAUCCCAUAUUAUUUUUGUUCUGACACUGUAAACCCGAAUAACUUGGGAAAAUUAAAAAAAAAUUGAGGUAAUCAUUUACAUCAAAAUGUUUAAGUUAAAGGUGCACUAUGUAAUAUUUUCUGUCCGCUAGAGGCCUAUUUAAAACAAAGGCGUAGCUGGAUGACGCCAAGUUUGAGCGCGGAAUCUUGGGACAUGUGGUCUUUACCUCAACGGCCGGUGGAAAAGAAUUGAAAUACGAUUCGGGAAGAAAUCAUGUUCAUGGAUGCAAUUAUUAACGUUACUGUAGUAUGAAGCAGAGCAGGACCAAGUGUUGUGGGAGCUGAACGAGGCCACUGGAGCGGAACUUUUAUUAUGUCACAGUCGCCGGCGCUGCUUCCGCUUUUCCGGUCAAGUGUAUGAGGUAACGCAGCUCUGUUUAUCAUAUUAGAUACAUUUGAGCAGGGCUCGUCAACUGGCCCGCCAAAUUCGGCCCGCCAAUCAUCUUCAUCCGGCCCGCGGCACCUCAAUCUCCCUCCUCUUCUUUUCCUGGCGGUGCGGCUAAAUUUGGUUAGAUACGUGGCUGCAGCUGUACGGCUAUAUACGCACUGUUCGUACCAUGCAGCUCCUCCUACUGACCUGAGAAACGUAUUCCGUGCGAAUAUUUCAGCAGUUAUUAUGCGUGUCCCGUAUUUCUGUCGACUUUCUUUUCCGUGAAUUGGCCAAACGCGCUUCCAUAACGAUCUGGAACGAUUUGGAUUCGUUCGGACCGCUCUGUCACUGAAUCAUCUGUAGUUGUUUCUCGGUCAGUAACAACAAAUACAGAACAAAUAGCGCUGUUUUCUCUAGUUUACUUUGAACUACGCAGCACGGCCCAGUGGAUAACGGAACGAAAGCUUAAAGGAGCUGCGCGUUUAUUCCCGGUCACCAUUAUUAAACAGCGUUGCAACAUCAAGUGAGAUUAGCGUUUCAAAUCGACACACACCUCUCGGUUACAAACUACAAAUCACUAGUUUUAAAUCGAAUGAAACCGCCUCAACAUUCCCAACAAGGGGUGAGGAAAACAUGAGAAACUUGCCAUGAAACUUGCCAUGAAUGAAGAUAGAAGGCUUUUAAAUUCCAAAAUCACCACCCUUACAAAAAUUUACCAUGAAUGAACUGUAAUUCAUUCCAUUCAAACCAUGGUAAAUUACAUUAUAUUGAAAACUAUGUUAUAGCCAAUUAUAUUGCAAUAUUUAUUAGGUGGGUAGGGGAAUAUAUAAUUCAUGUCUGUGUUAAGGUGUAGUUUGUACCUCAACUUUUUGAUUUGAUAAUCCGGCCCUCGAAUGAAACUACUUGAAGAGCCCUGCAUUUGAGUGUGUUUAAAAUGAUGUUAUAACGUUAUCCUGCGCUUUCGCUCGGUGGCUGCUGUGAGACACUUGUUACACUCUGCAGUAAGCUAGAUCGAUUUUAGAGUAUAUUAAAUGCUGGAUGGCUUGUUUUGAUAAAUGGCAUGCAAUUCAUUUUAAAACGUAUUGUAUGAUGGAGAAAAUGCUGUAUUACUGUUACUAAAAAUAAAGCUGCAUCUGAUUAUGCUAUGUUAGCUACUUCACAAAAUAGUGUUUUUCCUCUAAGGCAUGGUAAAAGCAUGGUACUCGCAAAAAAUCAAGAAAAUAAGAUUUAAACAAUAAGACUAAACGUGUUAAGCUAUAUAACAAUAAUUCGUUUUCUGUCUAUAAAUAUAUCAAAACAGUUGUUCCCUUGCCUAUUAAAAUGUAAAUAUUAAAGCGUCUUUGGUGUUUCCAUGGUUUCUACAAAAUAAAACCGGAAACCGAGGGUAACGCGGGUAUGACGCAAUUGAGAGGCAACUCUUCACACGUCCCGGAGCCUUGGAUAAAAUUGCAAUUUUCUCACGAUUUACAAAUAGUUGCAAACAUUUGGGAUGUUGUAAGUACUCAAGUGAACAAAAUAUAUAACACUGGCCUAGUGUUUUUUGAAUAUUUUACUGCAAAAUUCUUACAUAUUGCACCUUUAAAAAAUUCAAAGUUUAAGUAAGCAGAACUGGCAGAUUAUUAUUUUGUACUCAUACAUUUUAAUUGCUCUUAACAAUUUAACUUAACUUAAAAUGAUCAUGUAAUCUCAACUUAAAUAUUUUUAGUAGCAGAAACUUAGCAAGCUUUAACUAGCUAAUUCAGUAAAUGCUAACUUGCUCAUUGGUAACAAUGUUUUGAUAGCAUUAGCAUAGCAUAGCAAUUGCUGAAUGAGUACGGCAAUAUAGAAGCAAAACAAACAGCAAAACAUUAAACACUACUAAAUCUCCCACUUAACAUUAAUCUUGCACACACACACAAAAAAAAAAAAAAAAAAAAAAAACAUCAUAUAACACUUAAUUUUAGCAUUUACUCUCCCUUCGAGUGUCAUGGCAAAGCAUGUUGGGAAAAAGAAAUCCUAGCCGAGUUUCUGUUAAAUUUAAGUUUGUCUAAAUUGAAAGAAACAUGUUCAUAAAACUUAAAACAAUGAAACAAUUCAGAUUACUUAAAAUGUGCCAGAAACAGAAAGUUAUAAAUAUGCAUAAAAGUUAAUUUUAUUAAAAUAAUUUGUUUAAUUCAAGUUCCCCCUUCUCAAACCAAUUAAUUAAUUUGAGCAUUAGGGUUUACAGUGUAUUAGAAACUGUAUGUUGUUAUCUAACAGAAAAUGCCAUUUACAAAACACUGCUUUCACACACAAACAUCAUCAUUUAUCACGAUACUUGUAUUUAUUGACAAAAACCAAAAAACAAAUUUGAUUGUUGAUAUUAUUGUGUUUGACAUGUAUGUUGUGUAUCUUCUAAGUAUCUUCUUGAACAUAUAAGUACAAUUUUUCUCAGUACUGAAUUUAUGAACACUUCAUUUUUAACCUGAUAAUCAAAUUUCACAGCUAAUUUUAUAAUCUGAAAAAGAGGAAUUGAAAUUGAGUAUUAAGCUUGUUCAAGAGUGCAAGUGAAAGACUCUGGAUUAAGACUGAAUAUGUCAAAUAUAGCAGAAUAUUAAACCUUUCAUGGAAAGAUCAAAUUCUAUAUGACAUGUCAUAUCAUAUUUGUAUGUAUACAGAGGAAAUAAGCACCUUUCAUUAAGUCAUUAAACCUUUUCCCAAAAGAAAAAAAAAAGAACAAAACCAAAAACAGAUAUUUAGUUCAGUUUCAAAAAAUCUCAUUCCAUAUUGAAUGUGUUGGGAAUCCAUUUUGAUUGUGAAACACAUAGUGAUUGUGAACUCACUUUCAGUGGACUCGUAGUAGUAGACUGUGGACUGUGUAGUAGGUUAUGUAGGGAAGGGGCAGGUCCCCUACAUACCAUCUGCUAACAAUUUCUGCAAAGAAUAGCCUCGACAUUAUAACAGUAUGAUUUUGUGUUAUGUUCAGAAAACGUGAGGGGUAUGUUUUAAAUAGUUCUAUUCAAUAAAAGUAAAUAUAUCUAAAUAUAUAUAUAUAUGUAUGUAUAUUGUAAUUUUGAAUGAUGUUGAAAAGUCUGUAUUUAAAUUGAAACAAUUAAUAGAGAUGUAGGUUAGAACAUCACAUGCGUGAACUCAUUAAUAAACACUUUGUUCUGGCAUAAAAACUCAUACAAUACUUACCGUACAGUAUUUACCUACAAACCAUAACAGUUUAAACUAUUGUAGUACUUAUUUUACUUCACAAUAUAUAGUUACUCUGUUCGCAUGCUGUAAUACAACAUUUAUGCAGCACAGGCCCAAAGCCUGGAGCCACAGUGAUUUUGAGCCCAGGGUGGCUCACCCUUAGCAGGGCAAAGCCAACACAUAAAUUGGCUUACGUUCGGGCACUUUUUAACUCACUGAAUGCCCUUCUGAUUGGCUUAGGCUGCCUUUUUUCACUGACAAAGGCAUUAUUUUACACUUCCACAUCACAUUGUAUUUUAUGGAUCAUGUAAUAUUGCUUCACUAACAAAAAUGUACCAAAAAUACAAUCCAUGCUGUGGUACCACUACAAUUUGCUCCAUGUUACCUCUAUAAUUUGUUGUAAGGGAAUGUAUUCUUAAUCUUCCUUUUUAUUUUUAUUAUUAUUUUAUUUAUUUAUUUUAAUUUUAACAUGUUUAAAUCAGUUUAAAUCACUAAAAUAAGGUUCUAUUGGGAGACUUACAUAUUGUGUAAUCAUAACUGUUAACUGUCAUUGCUAUGUAUUUAAUUAUAAUUUAAUACAAAAUGACGCUUGGUUGCUUUGUUCAUGUGCACAUAUAGAUUGUGAAUUAUACUGUUUGUUGUUGUUGUUUUUUUGUUUUUUUUUACCACCCUGUGCAUUUUUGCAAUUGUGUAGAUAUAAUGUGAGCAACACAAAAAUACUCCUAAAAGAUAAAACAAAACCAUUAAGCUCAUAAUUUGAUUUGCUGCACAGCAGUUAACAUUACGCCAGCUUGUGAAAUACAGACUGUGGCACAGUGAUUUUAUGGCUGGUGCAUUAAUGGUUGCCAUUCAUAGGUUGAAUUGCCUUCAUCGCCAGGCAACACAACUCUAAAUCCCUGAUUAUCUUCUAUUAGAAUUAGACAACAAUGUCCUGGUUACUUGGUUACAUGUAUUCAUUAUGUGCUAAUAGGUAUGUAAUACAUAAACAUAAUUCUGCACUGUCAGAAGCCUGAUAUUAUACGAAAGGUAAAAUUAUAUCACAAAUAUGUAACCAUGAUACCAUAUUGUUGAUUGUACUGCCUUGAUGUUUUCUUUAAUGCAUUUGCCUAUACAUCAAGAUCAUACAAACCUAACAUUUCUAUGGAUAUAAUCAAUAACAGCAGUCCAGCGAGGCUGGUUGGAAUGGUUUGAGGACACGUUUUUGCCCAUUUUUUCCAUCAUGCAUGCCUCUGUUUUAGUAUCUCUCUGAAGGUCUAACCCUGGCCUACUUUAAAUACAUAUGCUUGCGCUGCAUCAUAACUAUGAGCUGCAUCACUGAUUGUUUUUUUUCAAUAAAAACAAAGAAAAAAAGCA